Mytilus californianus (California mussel) is the source of this 1718-nucleotide long non-coding RNA. RefSeq lists it as uncharacterized. The record is from RefSeq and is a predicted model, not a curated record. The transcript has 4 exons. Lineage: Eukaryota; Metazoa; Mollusca; Bivalvia; Mytilida; Mytilidae.
AAAAAAUAUGCUCGUAAAUAAAAUAUAAUGUAACUUCGUUAAACCCUUAAAACAUAUAGUUUACCUGUAGAGGGAAUGAUAGGAAUUAGAACGUCUAAAAUACAUUAUCUGACACGGAUACAAAGGGUACGUCAUCCUAUUCAUUUUGCCCGAUUCAGUGUGCGUCAUUAGUUUUGAUUUGAUCACUCUUCUUUGUCCAGUUUCAGUGACCGAUAAGGUGGAUGGAUAGCUGAUAAAGCUACAAAAGAUGUAAUGACCGACUUCAUUGUUUAACCAGAUAUCCGGAAAUGGUAUAAAUUUGUCAAAUAUUAGACAAAAUGGUGCCUCCGAGGUUGAAAGAUCAUGCCAUUAGAAAAUAUAACUGCUCAAACGACUACUGCACGCGCACCACCACUAAGUACGUAUCGAGGUGUUCAAGAUACUCAAGCACCAGGUUCCUCUGCGAUUGAUAGAUCAUCACAGGAAGCUAUUAAUUUUGUCCUUUGGGGAGCUUCCGGCUUAGCUUUGAUUAUUUUAUUCAUUCGGCUGAUCAUAUCCAUUAUCCAUAGAAUUCGACGACGAAAUAAUGAAGGAGUGCCUUUCUGGGGAAACAACAGCAGAUGCACAGUACAAGAAGCCCCACCUCCAAACUAUUCACAGAUAUCCAUUCGCACACUACCUCCGACAUACAGCCAGGCUUGUAGAAUAACACAUUAUCACCCAUCUACAGGAAAUGUGUCACAACAGACGACAUCGACUGGAAAUGACGUGUCGGUGAACGAGGCGUAUUUGAAUUACAUUGCUGACACUGAUUUUACUGUUCAAUCUUCAAAUGAUAAUGAUGGUACUAACGACGAUGUCUCCAAUGCUCCUACAAACACCAAUUCCGAAGCUGUUAAUAAUGUAUGCCAAACACAAUUCUCCAGUGACAAUUAUAGCGACAAUAGUCAGUCGCGCACACAUAUUGAAAAUGACAGCAUACAGGGCACUAAUGACAAUAUCGAUGAAAGCAAUGACUUUGAUAUACCAAUGAGAUCGAAUAGAAUGACAACAGAACUAUGAACGGGUUUUGGUGUCGUCGAAGACGGACGACACUGGAGAAUUUAUUCUAUGGAUGUAAUCUGAUCUUUAUCCCAACUAACUAUAGUCAAUAACAGAGGAACACGCGCCAUAGAUUUCUUGCCCGGAUUAUGUAUAUGAUAGUUAAUAUAGUAUUGAAGAGUUGGAUUCAUUGACCGGUGUUCUCUUUGCAAAUGUUUAUUGGUGUAUAUUUAAGAGUAUGUGUUUAUCUUUUUAGUCAGCAUACAUUUUUUAUACAAUGUUAUGUUAUUAAUCAAUAGAGUUUGUAUGUCAUUUGUGUUUGUGCAUUGUCGGUAGCGUUUGUAAAAACUACAUUUCUUACAUUCCAAAUAUUUGGAUCUGAAUGUAUAGAUGUAUAGUUUCAUUAUGUAUUUUUUUUAUUUUACUAAUACAAUGAAACUUAAGUUUUGGUCAUCAUUAGAAGCAUUGAUUUAGAUGCUUGAACUUCAUGUAAAACUCAUUCGUGUUUGGAUUGCAUAAUUUACUGAUCACACAGCUUAAGAUAAAUAUUAGUAAAACGCAUUAAUAUUACAUGCAUGUAUACUGUAUAGUUUGUGUAUCAUAGGUACAAACAUGAGUCGUCAUAAUGUGAUAUACUUUGUUAUAGAUUAAUAUAGAAACUGAUCAAAGAUAAGAUAAAAUAAAAACAAUAACCUGUU